RNAcentral lists this ribosomal RNA (446 nucleotides) under uncultured bacterium. RNAcentral describes it as "partial 16S ribosomal RNA". It matches the Rfam family "Bacterial small subunit ribosomal RNA", at positions 338 to 795 of the family's 1533-position model. The record is from RNAcentral.
CCUACGGGAGGCAGCAGUCGAGAAUCAUGCACAAUGGGGGAAACCCUGAUGGAGCGACGCCGCGUGGGGGAAUGAAGGUCUGCGGAUUGUAAACCCCUGUCAUGUGGGAGCAAAUUAAAAAGAUAGUACCACAAGAGGAAGAGACGGCUAACUCUGUGCCAGCAGCCGCGGUAAUACAGAGGUCUCAAGCGUUGUUCGGAAUCACUGGGCGUAAAGCGUGCGUAGGCGGUUUCGUAAGUCGUGUGUGAAAGGCGCGGGCUCAACCCGCGGACGGCACAUGAUACUGCGAGACUAGAGUAAUGGAGGGGGAACCGGAAUUCUCGGUGUAGCCGUGAAAUGCGUAGAUAUCGAGAGGAACACUCGUGGCGAAGGCGGGUUCCUGGACAUUAACUGACGCUGAGGCACGAAGGCCAGGGGAGCGAACGGGAUUAGAUACCCCAGUAGUC